RNAcentral lists this ribosomal RNA (492 nucleotides) under uncultured bacterium. RNAcentral describes it as "partial 16S ribosomal RNA". It matches the Rfam family "Bacterial small subunit ribosomal RNA", at positions 29 to 507 of the family's 1533-position model. The record is from RNAcentral.
AGUGAACGCUGGCGGUAGGCCUAACACAUGCAAGUCGAACGGCAGCACAGUAAGAGCUUGCUCUUACGGGUGGCGAGUGGCGGACGGGUGAGGAAUACAUCGGAAUCUACUUUUUCGUGGGGGAUAACGUAGGGAAACUUACGCUAAUACCGCAUACGACCUACGGGUGAAAGCAGGGGAUCUUCGGACCUUGCGCGAUUGAAUGAGCCGAUGUCGGAUUAGCUAGUUGGCGGGGUAAAGGCCCACCAAGGCGACGAUCCGUAGCUGGCCUGAGAGGAUGGUCAGCCACACUGGAACUGAGACACGGUCCAGACUCCUACGGGAGGCAACAGUGGGGAAUAUUGGACAAUGGGCGCAAGCCUGAUCCAGCCAUACUGCGUGGGUGAAGAAGGCCUUCGGGUUGUAAAGCCCUUUUGUUGGGAAAGAAAAGCAGCAGGUUAAUACCCCGCUGUUCUGACGGUACCCAAAGAAUAAGCACCGGCUAACUUCGUG